This 303-nucleotide ribosomal RNA is filed under the name uncultured bacterium. RNAcentral describes it as "partial 16S ribosomal RNA". It matches the Rfam family "Bacterial small subunit ribosomal RNA", at positions 507 to 809 of the family's 1533-position model. The record is from RNAcentral.
AGCAGUAGCCGCGGGAACACGUAGGUGGCAAGCGUUGUCCGGAAUUAUUGGGCGUAAAGGGCUCGCAGGCGGUUUCUUAAGUCUGAUGUGAAAGCCCCCGGCUCAACCGGGGAGGGUCAUUGGAAACUGGGAAACUUGAGUGCAGAAGAGGAGAGUGGAAUUCCACGUGUAGCGGUGAAAUGCGUAGAGAUGUGGAGGAACACCAGUGGCGAAGGCGACUCUCUGGUCUGUAACUGACGCUGAGGAGCGAAAGCGUGGGGAGCGAACAGGAUUAGAUACCCCCGUAGUCCCUGUCUCUUAUAA